ACGAGGGUUUGCUGAAAGAAGAACAACAGUCACCAUUUAGAAAGAAAAAUAAUCACUUUAUAUUUUCAGUGAUCUUAAAGUUUAGUUUGCAAAUAUAUUUUAUACUUAUAUGACUAAAUUUUUCAUUUGCUGUUACAAAAGGGAAAAAUGAAUAGGAAAACAGUUUUUCACUUCUCAUUGCAAUCCUUCUUAUAGAUAUGUUUCACAAUCAAGUUAGAGUUGAAAUACUGGCAUCAAUUGUGGAUCUGGCCUAAUGGAACAGGCUGAAAACCAAAGAUCUAAUUACCCAGGGAGGGACAUGAAAUAAAAGAAAUUCUUGAUUUGACUUAGGUGCUAAGGUCAAGUUUUCAACCAGAAGACAAAAAUAAUUCAUCAAAGCAAAUAAGAAUACAAUUAGUAUUAUUGAUAAGAGUUCUCUAAGAGAAAGGUACUCACUCAAGAUAAAAUGAAUUUCUGACCAGAGCUCCUGUGUUUGAAGCACAGUUUUCAACUUUGAACAGAUUUGAAUUUGAUCAACGUAAUCAAGCAUCACUCGGACGACUUUUCCAGAGAGAUGUUGUAACCACGACAAUGUUAUCACUUCACAGAACUGAGGAAUAAAAUAACUAUAAGAGUAAAUACAAAUUAAAACUACACUGAAAUACAAUUUCACACCUGAGAGAAUGGCUUACAUCAACAAAUCAGGAAAUGGUGUUGGAGAGGUUGUAGAGAAAUAGGGAACUCUGCUACGUUGCUGGUGGAAAUGCAAACUAGUACAGUCCCUUUGGAAGACUGGACAGUUUUUAAAUAAAAAUGGAAUUACGUUAUUUCCUAGCAAUACCACUUUUAGGCAUGUCUCUAGUGGAUACUCAAUCACUAAUUAGAAGGGAUGCCUAAUGUUCAUAGCUGUGUUAUUCACAUAAGCCAAAGAGUGGAAGCAGCCUAAAUGCUCAUCAACAGAUGACUGGAUAAAGAAGUUAUGGGAUAUAUUCCAUGGAAUACUAUUCUGCAAUAAAAAAGAUACUGUGUCCUUUGGGACAAAAUGGAUAGAACUGGAGGUGAUUAUGCUUAGUGAAAUAAGUAAAGAUGAAAGACAACUACCAGAUGAUUUCACUCAUGUGGAAUUUAGAGACCUGAUUUACAUGAACUUGCCCAAAAAAAUCCAAACAAAACAGAAGCAAGCAAACUGUAAGACAGGAGAACUAUGGUGGUUAUCUUUGGGAUGUGGGAUGGUGAGGAUACAGAACUUUAGUGGUGGGUGUGGUGUGGAACUAUAUAGCACAAUCUUAUAAUAAACUUAAUAAAAUCAUUUUAAAAAGUUAAUAAAGAAUUAAGUAGAGUGAUUUAGCAUAGUAAUCAGAAAAGCACUAAACUGAGUCAGGAAGCAAAUGUUUUCAAAUUCCUUACAUAUAAACUAAAAUGUUGAACAGAAAAUAUUCUUUAUCCAUUUGGAAAAAUAUUUGUUGUGUCUUCAGGACUAUCUAAAAAGUAAUAAAGGCGUGAAAGA
Erinaceus europaeus (western European hedgehog) is the source of this 1486-nucleotide long non-coding RNA. RefSeq lists it as uncharacterized. The transcript is spliced from 2 exons. The record is from RefSeq and is a predicted model, not a curated record. Lineage: Eukaryota; Metazoa; Chordata; Mammalia; Eulipotyphla; Erinaceidae.